This 166-nucleotide ribosomal RNA is filed under the name uncultured bacterium. RNAcentral describes it as "partial 16S ribosomal RNA". It matches the Rfam family "Bacterial small subunit ribosomal RNA", at positions 354 to 511 of the family's 1533-position model. The record is from RNAcentral.
GUAGGGAAUCUUUCCACAAUGGACGCAAGUCUGAUGGAGCAACGCCGCGUGAGUGAAGAAGGGUUUCGGCUCGUAAAGCUCUGUUGUUGAAGAAGAACGUGGGUAAGAGUAACUGUUUACCCAGUGACGGUAUUUAACCAGAAAGCCACGGCUAACUACGUGCCAG